UUGGUCAAGGGUGUCAGUCC
This 20-nucleotide unclassified non-coding RNA is filed under the name Chlamydomonas reinhardtii. Its description in RNAcentral is "small RNA Cre_4024". The record is from RNAcentral. Lineage: Eukaryota; Viridiplantae; Chlorophyta; Chlorophyceae; Chlamydomonadales; Chlamydomonadaceae.